Triplophysa rosa is the source of this 1048-nucleotide long non-coding RNA. RefSeq lists it as uncharacterized. The transcript is spliced from 3 exons. Lineage: Eukaryota; Metazoa; Chordata; Actinopteri; Cypriniformes; Nemacheilidae. The record is from RefSeq and is a predicted model, not a curated record.
UGUGUACGAGCGCUCUGAACAAAUCGACCUUCCUGUAGAAGUAGACGACGAGCAGCCUUAUGGGAAUUUAACAACCAAAGUGCAAGUGCUUUUGGGAAGCGUAGUUUUAUCGCAGACAGUAGUUUCCAAUGACAACGUACGUCAAACGAAUGCACAUUCUAAUGUAAAAAACAAAGAGGAAGGCUCCAGUGUCGUCUUCAUUUAACAAUGAUAAUGCAUUUAUUACUAAAGACGUUUGAUCAACGAAAUGAUGUUUAAACGAGGCAUCCAUGCGCAUGGGACUGUAAGGGCUGUACUGUUUUGAAUUCCAGAAGUCGAAGGUGCUACGAGCCAUCCCGAGACGUGAAUUAAUAUCUUUGCCAACUGCAUUGUCAGUACCAACUAGACUUCCCAGGUGGUCUUGCUUGGAGGAUACUAUAGCAAGGUCUUCUGCAAAGUCUAGAUCUUCUAGUUGAGAGAAGAGUUCACUGGAUCCCUCUAGGCUUGUCUGCUGUGGUUCUGCACAUGAUCCAGUCAACGGCAACAAGAAAUAGAAUUGGGGAUAAGAUUUACAGCUUAACUUCACCGAUCAGGUUGCCAGCACCACCCGGUCCUGUAGAUUCAUCCUCUACAAUAUUAGGAAAAUUAGACCUUUCCUAUCCGAGCAUGCUACGCAAGUCCUAGUCCAGGCUCUUGUUCUGUCCAGACUGGACUACUGCAAUGCGCUACUGGCUGGACUUCCAGCUUGCACAACCAAACCUCUACAGAUGAUACAGAAUGCAGCGGCAAGAGUGGUCUUCAAUGAACCGAAGAGAGCACACGUCACUCCUCUCUUCAUUAAGUUACAUUGGCUCCAUAUAGUCGCUCGAAUCAAAUUCAAGACUCUGCACCUGGCCUACAAGACCACCACUGAUUUGGCACCCCCUUAUCUUCACUCGCUAAUGCAGACUUAUAUACCCACCAGAUCCCUACGCUCUGCAAACGAACGACGUCUUGUGGUGCCAUCCCAAAAAGGUAAAAAAUCUCUCUCACAUACCUUCUCGGUUCUACAUUUAUGGAAUGAUCUGCC